CUUUGGUUGCCUCUCCCGGUAUCUGGGAGGGUAGUCGACUCGCCGCUUGUCCUGCUCCGCCAAGCGAGUCCAAAGCAGGAUGAGUCGGUCUACCCUAUUCUCAGACAGCCCCAGAAGGUUCCUCCCUUCCACCAGCACCUGGGCCAGCUUCAGGAUGUGCCGGUACCCGGGCUGGCCAUCAGGACCCUGGAUGUCCUCCUGAGAAGAAACGAGGAGGAACAAAGCCCGUAAGCAAAUAGUGCAGUAAGAGAUUCUAUCUCACAAUCGUCAGUAUGUGAACUUACUUCAGAGUCUAAGGAGGGCUGCUGGGGAUCAGGGUCCUGAACCUCUGGGGCCUCAGGAGGGGCAACUUGACCCGAACGGGAUGGCUCAAACGGUGCGUCAGCUGGAUCACCUGACCGGGCUGCUGCCACGCUGGAGGACUGAGUAUCAGGCCCGAAGACGGUAGGGUCCUCUACGUCUUCCUCGAUGCCCUCAUCCUCCUCCAGCGCCUCGAUGGCAGGAGCCUCGUCCGGAGUGUCAGGGUCCAGGCUGACGUCCUCAAGCACUUUGCCGGUCUGCUGGUACAGGUACUCCACUCCGAUGAGCUCCCCUGUCACACAGAGAAGGAUUCAGUAGCGGCUCGUUUUGCUGUCAGUUACGAGAUGAGGUGUUUUCACAUCGCAUACCUGUGUACUCAGCCGGCUCGGUGAAGUCCUUAACCAUCUGAAGACCAAGCACUCUUUGGCUCUUCUGGUUAAGGACGUGCUUGAGGUGGCCACUGUAGGAGUGCAGAGGUCCCAGCCGUCCCUCGACUGCAGCCGGUGGUGGUGCAGCUGCCGCUGCGCGGUCCUCGUUCCACCUCACCAGUCCAUCCACCAGGAACGCCUGGAAGUGCUUGGCGCUGGCCCGGGUCCCUGGGGAAGGGGGGGGGGGGGUUUGGAUCAGACACGAGUUUGCAUUUUCUUAAAGUUCAAAUAGAGAUUACAUUUUGUCACGAGCCGCGAGACACACGCCGGUACCUGGGAUGAACCGGUUAAGGUGGAGGUGGAAGGACUCCAGAGAGGUGGAGCCCCUCGCGCAGCGAUAUACGGGCAGGCUGACUCCUCCCUUGGUCAGCCGGCCCGUCUGGGUGUACAGCUGCACACCUGGCGGGUCCUGGAUGCAGCUGAGGUGGGUCCUCUGCGUACUCCAUAUUUCCUGGAUGCGGAGAGCGUUGAGCAACGGGAUGCCCAGGUUGUUGCGUCCUGCCGGUCCACCGAAGGUGUCGAGGAGCUCCUGGAUGAGGAGGGCCGAUUCCUCAGGCCCCCGUGUCCUGCGGCGGACGUGGAGCCUCCACUCCUCCUUGGAGAUCCUCUGGUUCACCGCGGCGUCCGUCAGUCCAACCAUCCCGUGCUUCCCCUCCAGCUGGGACCGCUUAGCCUCUGCGAGACGGCGUGCAUCUCCGGCGUCCACCUCAAAGAUGCAGUUAGACAGCUGCCUCAUGAAGGUGGGGUACAGCUCGUGGCUCUCGGUGUUGACACCUGAUGCGAAGCGUCGCAUCAGGUGCCAGAUGUCCAGUCUCACCACGAGAUGCUCCCACUCCUGCGAAACAAACAAAACGUUAAACUCUCCAGCCACGGUGCUGAUGCAGCACAACUGUCAACAGUGUCCUUUUCACACCUGAAACAAGACAGCUGUCAGCAGUCGCGGUCCACGUAGAUCAGCUGGGGGGGAGGUACCCCGGCGAGUCGGUACCGCCUCAUCAAGCCGGCCGCCAUCCCGGACAGGCCCCCGGCGCUCUCUCGGUGGAGGUGAGGACGCUCAUGAGGACCUGCCCGUGCUCAUUGCCGACGUUGGUAGCCCAGGCGGCCGUGUCGGAGGCGAUACCCGCGAGCUUCUUUGUCACCUGCAGAGAGAUUCUGAGAGUUAAUGUGAGAAACACACAGCAGCUGGAAGGAAAAGAAACUGACAGACUCCACUCGCCUUCUUGGUGGAGUCCAUCUUUUUGAUGGACCCGAAGGUGGACGUGAUCCUGGCCUUGUACUCAUCCAGCCGCGCCAGGACGUCGUAGCUGUACACGGUCAGCAGCCAGACGGGGGAUGGCAGAGGGGGCAUCUCGGGCGGAGGUGGAAUCUGCCCCCUCGCCGAGCACAAGGCCAGGAAUGGCUCGCACACGCCGAGGUACUUGAUGGCUCUCCGCAUCCAGGCGUCCGAGUGCUGCUCCCGCAGGGUGUUUUGCAGCUGGUUGGCACUGUUCCCCAGAGUGCGGGACCUCAGCUGUAUCACCACCCUCAUGUCACAGGACAGCCUGCACGACACAAACAUCACGUAGAGCCGAGUCUGCACCUCCAACGGGACGUUCAACACAGACAAAUGGUGAAGAAAUGCCUCCUUACUUGUACGUGAGUACAGCUGGGAACUGGCAGCUGUGGGUGGGGGACAGCUGCCUGAUGAUGCCCUGUGACCACCCCCCGACCUUCUUCUUACACCGACGGCACUCCAGGUACUCGGUGGCCAUGAGGUACCAGCCGUCGAUGUCCAGGACCCUCCGGAUGGUCCUGUACAGCCCAGCCUUCAUCAGGGACCCAGAGCACGAAGGCUGGGGGCAUGUCAGCUGCAGACGCCAAAGCCGGUGUGGCAUCCAGAGAAACAGCCGACAUGCGAAGAAGGGGUCGGGGGAUGCGGGAGGCUGGUUGUAGACCGGCCGGGUUUGGGGGGGGGUCCACCAUAGGUUGAGCUCGCCCACGAGCCGAGGCCUCCCCUGGCUGUCCCUGGUAAACAGCACCCGGCCGAUCCACUGCUGCUGCUCCACAGUGAGAGCUGCCCUCCAGGACUGAGGCAGCAACUGGUGAGACGACAACACACACAUAAAACCAUUUUAAUAUCUACAGACAGUCAGCAGGGACACCUGCGGCCUCACGUGUUAGAGAGACUGCCUCACCUCACUGGCAGAAGAUGGAGGGGAGGGAGGAACUCCUCCGAUCCCUCCACGGCGACGGGUGCGGACGGCGUCAAGGGGGCGGCUGGAGGCGAGGGAGCCGGUGUUCCGGCAGGCUGAACCACGACGAGGGCUGCAGGAGUUUCCACCAGGGGGUCUAUCUCCUGCGAGGCUUCCAGCAGCUCCUCGUCUGUGGGCUCGUCCAGCAGAGUAGAGACACCGGCUCCCGGAGGAGGAGGUGCUGAGGAGGAGGAGGAGGAGGAGGAGGAGGAGGAGGAGG
This is a long non-coding RNA of Gasterosteus aculeatus aculeatus (three-spined stickleback), 3179 nucleotides long. Lineage: Eukaryota; Metazoa; Chordata; Actinopteri; Perciformes; Gasterosteidae. The record is from Ensembl.